Molecule: ribosomal RNA, 467 nt
Filed under: uncultured bacterium
Lineage: Bacteria
Description: bacterial SSU rRNA
Rfam family: Bacterial small subunit ribosomal RNA
Source: RNAcentral
UGGGGAAUAUUGGACAAUGGGCGCAAGCCUGAUCCAGCCAUGCCGCGUGCAGGAUGACGGUCCUAUGGAUUGUAAACUGCUUUUGUACAGGAAGAAACAGUUCUACGUGUAGAACCUUGACGGUACUGUAAGAAUAAGGAUCGGCUAACUCCGUGCCAGCAGCCGCGGUAAUACGGAGGAUCCAAGCGUUAUCCGGAAUCAUUGGGUUUAAAGGUCCGUAGGCGGUUAGAUAAGUCAGUGGUGAAAGCCCAUCGCUCAACGGUGGAACGGCCAUUGAUACUGUCUGACUUGAAUUAUUAGGAAGUAACUAGAAUAUGUAAGUGUAGCGGUGAAAUGCUUAGAGAUUACAUGGAAUACCAAUUGCGAAGGCAGGUUACUACUAAUGGAUUGACGCUGAUGGACGAAAGCGUGGGUAGCGAACAGGAUUAGAUACCCGCGUAGUCCCUGAGCGGGCUGGCAAGGCGCAU